This 455-nucleotide ribosomal RNA is filed under the name uncultured bacterium. Its description in RNAcentral is "bacterial SSU rRNA". It matches the Rfam family "Bacterial small subunit ribosomal RNA", at positions 340 to 786 of the family's 1533-position model. The record is from RNAcentral.
UACGGAAGGCAGCAGUGGGAAUAUUGCACAAUGGGCGAAAGCCUGAUGCAGCUAUGCCGCGUGUAUGAAGAAGGCCUUAGGGUUGUAAAGUACUUUCAUCGGGGAGGAAAAACAAAACUAAUAAUUUUAUUUCUUGACGUUACCCGAAAAAGAAGCACCGGCUAACUCCGUGCCAGCAGCCGCGGUAAUACGGAGGGUGCUAGCGUUAAUCAGAAUUACUGGGCGUAAAGAGCACGUAGGUGGUUUUUUUAAGUCAGAUGUGAAAUCCCUGGGCUUAACCUAGGAACUGCAUUUUGAAACUGAAAUACUAGAGUAUCGUAGAGGGAGGUAGAAUUCUAGGUGUAGCGGUGAAAUGCGUAGAUAUCUGGAGGAAUACCUGUGGCGAAAGCGGCCUCCUAAACGAAUACUGACAACUGAGGUGCGAAAGCGUGGGGAGCAAACAGGGAUUAGAUACC